Strongylocentrotus purpuratus (purple sea urchin) is the source of this 626-nucleotide long non-coding RNA. RefSeq lists it as uncharacterized. Lineage: Eukaryota; Metazoa; Echinodermata; Echinoidea; Camarodonta; Strongylocentrotidae. The record is from RefSeq and is a predicted model, not a curated record. The transcript has 2 exons.
UGCCUGCGCCGGUUCAAUUAAUUAAGAUUAGUAAACACGGAGAUCCAUUUAAAAUACAAAAGUCUGAAACAUAUAUUUUGUGCCAAUGAUAAUUCCAAAGAGGUAUUUAUUAAUAUUCAGUGUCAAAGGUACACCGAUAAUAAACUCCCAGUGUGACAACUGGCAUUUCGAUUUCAAACAAACAAUUCUUACAAAAACAGCUACAUGCAAAGCUUUACAAUAUGUUGUACAGGUAUACAAUAAAUGCUAGAAAAGGAGCAAAGUAAACUACACUGUACAUUAGAAAAAACAUCAAAGAAUAGAAGAAAAGAAUGUUCAUAUAAAGUACAAAUGAUAAAACACAAGUCGUUCGUCAGUAAGCACUAAAUACAUCGAUCAGGCGGAGAGCGUUGCCUGAACAACGACAGCAGUCCCAACUCUUGUCCCGAGGGAAAUGGAAGUGGAACCAUGGUGGAACCAUGGUGGAACUGUUAAGAAACAAAAUCAAGGCAGGUCUUAAAAAGCUGAGACAUAGUAACUUCUGGGGGAAGUUACAUCACACGUCUAUCUGCCUUGAAGUCUAAACUUGCUCUCCUACUUAAUCAAUAAUAAUUCUUCUUUAUAUGGAACACAGUAAUUCAACAAGA